This is a small nucleolar RNA of Malania oleifera, 105 nucleotides long. Lineage: Eukaryota; Viridiplantae; Streptophyta; Magnoliopsida; Santalales; Ximeniaceae. The record is from RefSeq and is a predicted model, not a curated record.
ACUUGGUGAUGUGGACAUUUACACAAAAGGUCCCUAAAGCGCUUCCAUGUCUCAAGAAUUGUUCACCAUUUAUUUGUGAGAAACUAGCUAUUGCCUUCCUAAGCU